This 490-nucleotide ribosomal RNA is filed under the name uncultured bacterium. RNAcentral describes it as "bacterial SSU rRNA". It matches the Rfam family "Bacterial small subunit ribosomal RNA", at positions 903 to 1397 of the family's 1533-position model. The record is from RNAcentral.
AAAUGAAUUGACGGGGACCCGCACAAGCGGUGGAUGAUGUGGAUUAAUUCGAUGCAACGCGAAAAACCUUACCUACGCUUGACAUGCCAGGAACCUUGCUGAAAGGUGAGGGUGCUCGAAAGAGAGCCUGGACACAGGUGCUGCAUGGCUGUCGUCAGCUCGUGUCGUGAGAUGUUGGGUUAAGUCCCGCAACGAGCGCAACCCUUAUCAUUAGUUGCUACGAAAGGGCACUCUAAUGAGACUGCCGGUGACAAACCGGAGGAAGGUGGGGAUGACGUCAAGUCCUCAUGGCCCUUAUGCGUAGGGCUUCACACGUCAUACAAUGGUCGGUACAGAGGGUUGCCAACCCGCGAGGGGGAGCCAAUCCCAUAAAACCGAUCGUAGUCCGGAUUGCAGUCUGCAACUCGACUGCAUGAAGUCGGAAUCGCUAGUAAUCGCGGAUCAGCAUGUCGCGGUGAAUACGUUCCCGGGUCUUGUACACACCGCCCGU